RNAcentral lists this long non-coding RNA (251 nucleotides) under Capsicum annuum. RNAcentral's name for it is "long non-coding RNA (CANN_LNC011257)". The record is from RNAcentral. Lineage: Eukaryota; Viridiplantae; Streptophyta; Magnoliopsida; Solanales; Solanaceae.
GACAUACAUACCAAGUAUCCUCACCUCUUCUUCUCCAACUCAGAUAAAGCUCAAGGUAACAGUUCUCCUUAAGCUUACUCAGUUUCAUAUUCAGUGUUCAUCACAAAAUUGGUAUGCAGUUUCAUGCUCAUGUUCCCAUUAUAAAAUUGGUAUCAAGUACCAUUACAUAUUCAGUCAUGCACUCAUGUAUCAGUUCAGUUAUGUAAUUAUGCAUCAAACAUGCAUUCUCAUUGUGAGAAACUUAGUUCUUC